UGACAUCACUGUGCCUUGUCCGUAUGAC
Molecule: non-coding RNA, 28 nt
Filed under: Mus musculus (house mouse)
Lineage: Eukaryota; Metazoa; Chordata; Mammalia; Rodentia; Muridae
Source: RNAcentral